RNAcentral lists this ribosomal RNA (253 nucleotides) under uncultured bacterium. Its description in RNAcentral is "partial 16S ribosomal RNA". It matches the Rfam family "Bacterial small subunit ribosomal RNA", at positions 524 to 776 of the family's 1533-position model. The record is from RNAcentral.
UACGUAGGGUCCAAGCGUUAAUCGGAAUUACUGGGCGUAAAGCGUGCGCAGGCGGUUUUGUAAGACAGGUGUGAAAUCCCCAGGCUUAACCUGGGAACUGCAUUUGUGACUGCAAGGCUAGAGUGCGGCAGAGGGGGGUAGAAUUCCACGUGUAGCAGUGAAAUGCGUAGAUAUGUGGAGGAAUACCGAUGGCGAAGGCAGCCCCCUGGGCCUGUACUGACGCUCAUGCACGAAAGCGUGGGGAGCAAACAGG